CUUGGUUGACACUGCUUUUAUUGUGGAUAAAGGAGAGAUGGUCAGUAAUUAAUGGCUUGAAGUAUUAUUGGAGUGGUUUAUCAUUUCUGAAACUAAUCGUGUCAGAAUUGACUUUGAAAAGCAUUGCUUUUUACAGAAAUAUAUUAACUUUUUAGGAGUAAUUUCUAGUUUGGAUUGUAAUACGAAAUAAUUUAAAAGGGCUUGCUCAUAUAUAGGAAAAUUGCAUAUGGUCCUAGUAUUAAAUUCUUAUUGCUUACUGAUUUUUUUGAGUUAAGAGUUGUUAUAUGCUAGAAUAUGAGAAUGUGAAUAUAAAUAAGAGAAGAAAAAAGAAUAAAGUAGAUUGAGUCUCCAAUUUUAUGUAAGCUUCAGAAGAACUGGUUUGUUUACAUGCAAGCUUAUAGUUGAAAUAUUUUUCAGGAAUUACAUGAAUGACAGUCUUCGAACCAAUGUGUUUGUUCGAUUUCAACCAGAGACUAUAGCAUGUGCUUGCAUCUACCUUGCAGCUAGAGCACUUCAGGUAGGUGUAUAUUUCCCAUUUUGUUGUGUAGGAUAAAUCACACAAAUUUUCGGUGGUUCCAAUACAGAUUUAGCAAAAAUUUAAUUUAAACCAUUCUGUUCUUAUGAUUUAGAUUCCAUUGCCAACUCGUCCCCAUUGGUUUCUUCUUUUUGGUACUACAGAAGAGGAAAUCCAGGAAAUCUGCAUAGAAACACUUAGGCUUUAUACCAGAAAAAAGCCAAACUAUGAAUUACUGGAAAAAGAAGUAGAAAAAA
RNAcentral lists this small RNA (771 nucleotides) under Pongo abelii (Sumatran orangutan). Its description in RNAcentral is "retained intron". Lineage: Eukaryota; Metazoa; Chordata; Mammalia; Primates; Hominidae. The record is from RNAcentral.